Molecule: long non-coding RNA, 2816 nt
Filed under: Phocoena sinus (vaquita)
Lineage: Eukaryota; Metazoa; Chordata; Mammalia; Artiodactyla; Phocoenidae
Description: lncRNA (ENSPSNG00000001077.1)
Source: RNAcentral
CUCCCCUCUCCCAUCUGUAAAAUGGGCUCUGGGCCUGCCCUCCCUCCCCGCCCCUUGGGUAGACGAGGAGAGCAGACAGUUAAUCCCCAAGAAGUGUUUGCUCUUAUUUUUCCUGAGGCUCUAGUCCUGCGUGUCUGUGUCGUACUCAGUGCCACGGUGGGGGCGCCCGAGGGAGGAUUUCAGCAACUACUCACUCCCUUAAUGGAAAACUGCCCAGGCCAGGGACCAGAAACUUCCAUCACCUCCAGCCUCUCCCAGGCACUUCCUCUGCUCGAGGACACCUGAGUCCUGCCCACCCUCCCCUCACAGCACCCUCUGCCACCUCCCGGCCCCUCCCGCAGGCCCAGCCAUUCGAGCUCAUUUGUCCCAUUUGCCACGCGGCUGAGCAUGGAGUCAGUCAAUCAACCAAUUUUCGACCGCCUGCCUGCAGGCCCCGGACGCUUCCUGUGCGGUCCGCUCAGCUUUCGCCCCCAGAGGCAUUUUGGAACCUUCCCAAGACAAAAGGCGGAAGGAAGGAAGGAAGUGCCACCCUGUGGACACAGAAAAGAUAACAGUCCCUGCGGCUCCUGGCGCUUCUCUCCACCACCACGCCGGCCACCCGUGGAGCCCGGGAGGUAGGGAUCAGCAUCGGCCCCGUUUUCUGUUGGGGAAACUGAGACUCUGAUGGGUCCAAAGUCACCCAGCUCAACCCAGGCUGCCUGGCCCAGUCUGCGCUCUUUCCCACCUGCUGCCCUGACACUCUGGGUCCCCUGUCCCUGGGCCCAUUCCUGCAGGGAACCCUGUUUCCCAGGUCCUGCUGGGUUCAGCCCAUGGGGGCACUGACGGGAGGGGGGCCCGGAGGAGGGGAGAGGACGGAGUCUCUCUCCUCUCUCUCUGCCAUGGAGGGGUCUCCUCCCAGGCUCCCACAGCUCCUGGGCUCCAGUAAUGCCACCCCUUCUGCUGUUAUUUCUAGAUGCCUCAUUGUCCCCAUUUGUGGUUUUUUUGGUUGCGCCUUGCGGCAUUUGGGAUCUUAGUUCCCCGGCCAGGAAUCAAACCUGUGCCCCGUGCAGUGGAAGCGUGGAGCCCUAACCACUAGACCACGAGGGAAUUCCCUGGGUUUUUGGUUUUGUUUUAACAAAUUUAUUUUUGGCCACGUUGGGUCUUGGUUGCUGCCCCCGGGCUUUCUCUAGUUGGGGAGAGCGGGCACUACUCUUUGUUGCGUUGCGUGGUCUCCUUAUUGCAGUGGCUUCUGUUGUUGCGGUGCACGGGCUUUAGGUGCACGGGCUUCAGUAGUUGUGGCUUGCGGGCUCAGUAGUUGUGGCUUGUGGGCUCUAGAGUGCAGGCUCAGAAGUUGUGGUGCAUGGGCCUAGUUGCUCCGUGGCACAUGGGAUCUUCCCGGACCAGGGCUCGAACCCGUGUCCCCUGCACUGGAAGGCGGAUUCUUAGCCACUGCGCCACCAGGGAAGCCCCCUGGUCUUUGAAAAAAAGUAUUAUUUAGCAUUAUUUUCAGUUGUGCUCCAAUACACAUAACGUAAACUUCACCAUCUUAUCCAAGUUUAAGUGUGUAGCUCAUCGGCCUUAAGCACGUUCACAGUGUUGUGCAACCAGCACCACCAGCCAUCCAGCUCUUUGGUCUUGCAAAACUGAAAGGCUGUAGCGUUUAAACACCAACUCCCCAGACUCUUCGUCCAGCCCCAGGCACCCACCGUCCUACUUUCUGUCUCUAGGAAUUUGACUACACUAGGGACUUCGUAUAAGUGGAGCCAUACAGUAGUUACCUUGUUAUAACUGGCUGAUUUCCCUUUAGCACAAUGUCCUCGAGAGUCAUCCAUGUUGGAGCAUGUGUCAGAAUAUUCUUGCUUUUUCAGGCUGAAUAAUAUUCCAUUGUAUAUAUACACAUUUUAUUUAUCUAUUCACCUGCAGAUGGACACUUGGGUUGUUUCCACCUUUUGGCUUUUGUGAAUAAUGCUAAGAACAUGGGUGCGCAAAUAUCUGUUUAAGUCCCUGAUUUCAAUUCUUCUGUGUAUAUAUACCCAGAAGUAGACUUGCUGGAUCACAUCAUAGUUCUAUUUUUAUUUUUAUUGUUAAUUUUUUUGGCCAUGCCUCGCGGCUUGUGGGAUCUUAGUUCCCCGACCAGAGAUCGAACCCAUGCCCCCUACAGUGGAAGCGUGGAGUCUUAACCACUGGACCGCCAGAGAAGUCCCAGUAGUUCUAUUUUUAAUUUUAAAAAUUUGAGGUCCUAUUUUCAAUUUUUUGAGGAGCUGCCAUACUGUUUUUUUCCACUGUGCCUUCACCAUUUUACAUUCCCACCAACAAUGUACAAAGGUUCCAGUUUCUCUACACCCUCGCCAACACUUGUUGUCUUCUGUUUUUUUGUUUUUUAUUACAGCCAUCCUAAUGGGUGUGAGGUGGCAUCUCAUUAUGAUUUGCCCAUUUGGUGUGUUACGCUUAGAUCCCUGUAUUGUUUUUUUCUAUCCAGUGACCUGCUGUGUUCCUGACUGUUCCCCAGUUGAUGUGCCAGGACUAUUUGUGGCUUGACCGCCAUGCCCUAGGACAGGGGUCUGAAAUGCCCUCAAGGCCCAGACUCAGGUAAAGCUGGGGUGCACAAGAGAAUGAGGGUGUAGGGGACUGAGGUGGACUGCAGCCCACGCACCCUGACGCCCAUGGCUCUGGCCAAAUGUUUCCAUGAUGUAGCCAGAUUCACCUGAAUUUAUAAUUUGGAUUUGUGUUGUGAAGUCUCUCGAUUUUUUUCCAUCUUAGCAACGAAUUGAAUAGGACUAAAUUCAGGAGACUCCUUCCCCGACACCCCCCAAAAUAAAAAAAGCCUCCUGCCACUC